This 1006-nucleotide long non-coding RNA is filed under the name Piliocolobus tephrosceles (Ugandan red Colobus). RNAcentral's name for it is "lncRNA (ENSPTEG00000014243.1)". Lineage: Eukaryota; Metazoa; Chordata; Mammalia; Primates; Cercopithecidae. The record is from RNAcentral.
CGGAAAUAAUAAUGAAACAUUACUAAUUUUUCUAAUAAUUAUAGUGUUAAUAAUUCUUAUAGUUGUAUGUUUAUAUAUUUGUUACAAAGUAAGAUAUAGUAAAAAAAUUAAAAAAAAGUUGUGUUUUUUUUUUUUUUUUUUUUUUUUAGUAUUUUUUUCCUAUCUUGAAAUAUUUUAUAUUGGAUAAAAUAACAAUUGCAUGUAUUUUCGUUAAAUUAUUUAUUUAGGAACAGCACGUAUUAAGAAAAAUAUGUCGUAACAGAAGAAAUAGUACUAAAUCUGUACCAGGUGCCAGUGUAAGAAUGUCUGAGUUAAAGGAUAAUUUGCAAGAUGAGGUUGAUCUGUUUACGAAAGGCACAUCCGGUGGAAGGACAAAUUUAGGAUUUGAAGGAGACGAAGCUGAUGGAAAUAAUGAAAAUGACUAUACUGGACAAUCGAGUGAUUUAGUUGUAACAUGUGGGAGUGAUAAUACUGCUUUGGAGGAAAGUAAUGAAACCAGUAGUCUAAGCACUAACUUAAGUACAACUUCUUAUUCCAGUAAUGAAGGAAAUCAGUCUGUUGUUUCUAAUACAAACGAUAUAUCACCAGAAAUACCAAAUGGCGACGAUAUUGAUGAGAUUGAUAUAUUACCUGUGGACAUAUGUGGUGCACUCGUAAGUAUGCAUUAUCAAGGUUAUUCGAAUGGUUUUCCGCCAGAUUCUAUGUUAGAUAGUGAAACAGACGAUGAUCAACAUCAAGCAAACUACAAUAAUUUGUUAGGAGUUCUACAAGUUAAUUUGGAGCUUACAGAUGACGAUUACAAUUCACCAGAAUAUUUCCAUAGUUUGCAUUCGAUUAUAUUAGGUCAAGAAAACUUUAUACAUGGUGUUUCAAAUGAUGGAAGUAAUGGAAAUGGAGAAAAUAAUGUGGAUAAUGUUCAAAGUGAUCUAGAUAGUGAAACUGGAGAAAGCAACGUGCAUAAUGUUUCAAAUGAAUAAGCUAGUAAGAUUUCAAAGUAAAAGUGAAG